RNAcentral lists this ribosomal RNA (451 nucleotides) under uncultured bacterium. RNAcentral's name for it is "bacterial SSU rRNA". It matches the Rfam family "Bacterial small subunit ribosomal RNA", at positions 354 to 796 of the family's 1533-position model. The record is from RNAcentral.
GUGGGGAAUAUUGGACAAUGGGGGGAACCCUGAUCCAGCCAUGCCGCGUGUGUGAAGAAGGCCUUUUGGUUGUAAAGCACUUUAAGCGAGGAGGAGGCUACCGAGAUUAAUACUCUUGGAUAGUGGACGUUACUCGCAGAAUAAGCACCGGCUAACUCUGUGCCAGCAGCCGCGGUAAUACAGAGGGUGCAAGCGUUAAUCGGAUUUACUGGGCGUAAAGCGCGCGUAGGUGGCCAAUUAAGUCAAAUGUGAAAUACCCGAGCUUAACUUGGGAAUUGCAUUCGAUACUGGUUGGCUAGAGUAUGGGAGAGGAUGGUAGAAUUCCAGGUGUAGCGGUGAAAUGCGUAGAGAUCUGGAGGAAUACCGAUGGCGAAGGCAGCCAUCUGGCCUAAUACUGACACUGAGGUGCGAAAGCAUGGGGAGCAAACAGGAUUAGAUACCCGGGUAGUCC